Molecule: ribosomal RNA, 420 nt
Filed under: uncultured bacterium
Lineage: Bacteria
Description: bacterial SSU rRNA
Rfam family: Bacterial small subunit ribosomal RNA
Source: RNAcentral
UAAGGAAUAUUGCUCAAUGGGAGAAAUCCUGAAGCAGCAACGCCGCGUGGAGGAUGAAGGGUCUAUGACUUGUAAACUCCUGUAAAGAAGGAAAAAAUUCCCAUUAGAUGGGAGAUGAUGGUACUUCUGGAGUAAGCCCCGGCUAACUACGUGCCAGCAGCCGCGGUAAUACGUAGGGGGCAAGCGUUGUCCGGAUUUACUGGGUGUAAAGGGUGCUCAGGCGGAUUUGUAAGUCAGAGGUGAAAUCUUACAGCUUAACUGUGAAACUGCCUUUGAUACUGCAAGCCUAGAGUAUGGAAGAGAGUUAUUGAAUAUCUGGUGUAGCAGUGAAAUGCGUAGAUAUCAGAUAGAACACCAAUGGCGAAGGCAGUCACUUGGUCCAUUACUGACGCUAAAGCACGAAAGCGUGGGUAGCAAACA